CCCAGACUCCUACGGGAGGCAGCAGUGGGGAAUAUUGCACAAUGGGGGAAACCCUGAUGCAGCGACGCCGCGUGAGUGAAGAAGUAUUUCGGUAUGUAAAGCUCUAUCAGCAGGGAAGAAAAUGACGGUACCUGACUAAGAAGCCCCGGCUAACUACGUGCCAGCAGCCGCGGUAAUACGUAGGGGGCAAGCGUUAUCCGGAAUUACUGGGUGUAAAGGGAGCGCAGACGGCAGUGCAAGUCUGGAGUGAAAGCCCGUGGCUUAACUACGGGACUGCUCUGGAAACUGUGCAGCUAGAGUGCAGGAGAGGCAGGCGGAAUUCCUAGUGUAGCAGUGAAAUGCGUAGAUAUUAGGAGGAACACCAGUGGCGAAGGCGGCUUACUGGACUGUAACUGACGUUGAGGCUCGAAAGCGUGGGGAGCAAACAGGAUUAGAUACCCCGGUACCU
This 448-nucleotide ribosomal RNA is filed under the name uncultured bacterium. Its description in RNAcentral is "bacterial SSU rRNA". It matches the Rfam family "Bacterial small subunit ribosomal RNA", at positions 330 to 795 of the family's 1533-position model. The record is from RNAcentral.